UGGCGGCCUUAGCGCGGUGGUCCCACCUGACCCCAUGCCGAACUCAGAAGUGAAACGCCGUAGCGCCGAUGGUAGUGUGGGGUCUCCCCAUGCGAGAGUAGGGAACAGGCAUCAA
RNAcentral lists this ribosomal RNA (115 nucleotides) under Escherichia coli. The record is from RNAcentral. Lineage: Bacteria; Pseudomonadati; Pseudomonadota; Gammaproteobacteria; Enterobacterales; Enterobacteriaceae.